UGGGCUAUAGCCAAGCGGUAAGGCAACGGACUUUGACUCCGUCAUGCGUUGGUUCAAAUCCAGCUAGCCAGCCA
RNAcentral lists this transfer RNA (74 nucleotides) under Metabacillus litoralis. RNAcentral describes it as "tRNA-Gln". It matches the Rfam family "tRNA". From Rfam's summary of the family: Transfer RNA (tRNA) molecules are approximately 80 nucleotides in length. Their secondary structure includes four short double-helical elements and three loops (D, anti-codon, and T loops). RNAcentral also lists the same sequence under 1 other name. The record is from RNAcentral. Lineage: Bacteria; Bacillati; Bacillota; Bacilli; Caryophanales; Bacillaceae.